This 69-nucleotide transfer RNA is filed under the name Bos taurus (domestic cattle). It matches the Rfam family "tRNA". From Rfam's summary of the family: Transfer RNA (tRNA) molecules are approximately 80 nucleotides in length. Their secondary structure includes four short double-helical elements and three loops (D, anti-codon, and T loops). The record is from Rfam by way of RNAcentral. Lineage: Eukaryota; Metazoa; Chordata; Mammalia; Artiodactyla; Bovidae. RNAcentral also lists the same sequence under 3 other names.
CCUGGUAGCUCAGAUGGUAAAGCAUCUGCCUACAAUGCAGGAGACCAGGGUUCAAUCCCUGGGUCAGGA